CCGCUGCCAGGCUCCUGACAAGUGAAUUGCCGACAGCCGAAGCCCAAUCGUGCACACGGUAACACCACAGCAGCAGCAACAGCAACAAGAAAAAGAGAGUUUGCACAAGCCCACCCCGUCCUCCGCACUGCCAGUCCUCCUGCUCUCCUUGUGUUGCCCGGCACAGGACUGGUGCCUGGUUUUGGUGAUGGUCAGGAGGCGGGUGCUGUGCAGUGGCCGCCGCCGCCGCUGAGGUCGGGCCGGGCGGAGCGGAACGGAGCGCGCGCCAGUCGGACAGCCCCAGGUGUUCCCGAGCGUCACAAUCAGAACGGCCCGAGCCGCGGGCGGGAAAAGCAGCAGAGAGCCGGAGCCCGCGCCCGCGCCCGCGCCCCGGGUGGAUACCCACACCAACCAUGGGCUGCUGCAGCGGCAGGUGCACUCUCAUCUUCAUCUCCAGCCUGCAGCUAAUAUGUGUGUUGGAGAGACAGAUCUUUGAUUUCCUUGGCUACCAAUGGGCACCAAUCCUGGCCAAUUUUUUACACAUUGUCACAGUCAUUUUUGGCCUUUUUGGGACCAUCCAGUUCAGACAACGAUAUGUAAUCAGGUAUGCCAUCUGGAUGGUCCUCUGGGUGACAUGGAAUGUGUUUGUUAUCUGCUUCUACUUGGAGGUUGGAGGCCUUGCAAAGGAUACUGACCUGAUUAUGACCUUUAACAUUUCUAUGCAUCGCUCUUGGUGGAUGGAGAAUGGACCAGGAUGUGCAGUAGCAACUAUAACUGAUACUCCAGAAUGGGUACCAGAGGAUCACCGCUACAUUUAUAUCAGAGGGUGUCUCCUAGAAUACCAGUAUAUAGAGGUGGCACAUAGUUCACUACAAGUUAUUCUUGCACUUCUUGGAUUUGUUUAUGCCUGUUACGUGAUCAAAAUUGUUGCUGAAGAAGAAGACAGCUUUGAUUUCAUCGGAGGGUUUGACUCAUACGGCUAUCAGGGCCCACAGAAAACAUCCCAUUUACAGUUGCAGCCCAUGUACAUAUGACCCAUCACCCUGCUCAUCCAGUGCAGAGAACCCAACCUUCUCCUCAGAGAAUGGUCAAAAUAAACUGGCAACUGGAUGCCUUAAAAUUCUUCUGACUUCGAACUUUUCACACCUUAAUUUCAAAGAUUCUAGUGGUGAUAACUUUUUAUUGUGCAAUGUGGAGCAUGGCUGACCAUUCUUCAAGUGAUGGCCCAGCCCAGAGUCUUGGGACAACAGAAGACCCAACCAAAAUGCAGGCAGGUGAAAUACUUCAAAGAUUUGAAACUGUACACCACAACCAGCAAUCUUCCUCCAGUUGGUUGGAACAUGCUGAAAAGUAAUGCUGAAUUUUGAUGCCUCGAAGAUGAAGCUAAAGUAUUGUUGCCCUCUGCAGGCUAAUAUGAAAAUCUCAUGGCAUUAUUCUCGUGUGAUUCCAGAUUGCCAAUUAUAACUGCAAGUGUUCAUCAACAAAUUAGAUUAACUGUUUAUGUUUCAAGGUCAUUGUUGAAUAUAUAUUUUUCUGGAUUAGCCAGACAUGGUGAAUUGAAUCAGUGCCAUAGUUUUACUAAGGAUUAAAUAAUGCAACCAAAUGUGAGCUUCUUUUCAUACAAGCAGCACAUUUGCCUUAAUACAUGAAAGUCUAAACAUCUGUAAAUGAGUUCAAAUCUGGGCAUUUUUUAUAAUGUUAAAACAUUUCCUGAACGAUUACUGGUGGAGUUAGCACUUUCUGAUAAACUGCUAUCACAUAGCUGUGCAGAAGAUGCUUUGCAUACCGAAGGUCUUCAGUGAAUAGCCCACAUCAUUGUUUUUUAUUCCUACACAAAAGUAAAUGUGAAGCUGUGGAGGAAAUAGGCAGCGGUAGUAUAUGUGAAUAGUUGAAAGCCUUGAUAGGUCAUGUGAAAUAAAGCUGAAAGAGCCAAUCAAAUGUGGUAGUUGAGAAUA
RNA transcript from Hemiscyllium ocellatum (epaulette shark), 1934 nucleotides. It is a transcript of the gene named sodium/potassium transporting ATPase interacting 2, with no coding region annotated. The record is from RefSeq and is a predicted model, not a curated record. The transcript is spliced from 8 exons. NCBI's taxonomy places the organism in Eukaryota, Metazoa, Chordata, Chondrichthyes, Orectolobiformes, Hemiscylliidae.